Molecule: ribosomal RNA, 228 nt
Filed under: uncultured bacterium
Lineage: Bacteria
Description: partial 16S ribosomal RNA
Rfam family: Bacterial small subunit ribosomal RNA
Source: RNAcentral
UACGUAGGCGGAAAAUUAAGUCAGUAGUGAAAUCCUGCAGCUUAACUGUAGAACUGUUAUUGAUACUGGUUUUCUUGAAUAUAGUUGAGGUAGGCGGAAUGUGUAAUGUAGCGGUGAAAUGCUUAGAUAUUACACAGAACACCGAUUGCGAAGGCAGCUUACUAAGCUAUGAUUGACGCUGAGGUACGAAAGCGUGGGAGCGAACAGGAUUAGAUACCCUGGUAGUCC